Molecule: ribosomal RNA, 710 nt
Filed under: uncultured Staphylococcus sp.
Lineage: Bacteria; Bacillati; Bacillota; Bacilli; Caryophanales; Staphylococcaceae
Description: bacterial SSU rRNA
Rfam family: Bacterial small subunit ribosomal RNA
Source: RNAcentral
CGGGAAACCGGAGCUAAUACCGGAUAAUAUUUUGAACCGCAUGGUUCAAAAGUGAAAGACGGUCUUGCUGUCACUUAUAGAUGGAUCCGCGCUGCAUUAGCUAGUUGGUAAGGUAACGGCUUACCAAGGCAACGAUGCAUAGCCGACCUGAGAGGGUGAUCGGCCACACAUGGAACUGAAACACGGUAAAGACUCCUACGGGAGGCAGCAGUAGGGAAUCUUCCGCAAUGGGCGAAAGCCUGACGGAGCGACGCCGCGUGAGAUGAUGAAGGUCUUCGGAUCGUAAAACUCUGUUAUUAGGGAAGAACAUAUGUGUAAGUAACUGUGCACAUCUUGACGGUACCUAAUCAGAAAGCCACGGCUAACUACGUGCCAGCAGCCGCGGUAAUACGUAGGUGGCAAGCGUUAUCCGGAAUUAUUGGGCGUAAAGCGCGCGUAGGCGGUUUUUUAAGUCUGAUGUGAAAGCCCACGGCUCAACCGUGGAGGGUCAUUGGAAACUGGAAAACUUGAGUGCAGAAGAGGAAAGUGGAAUUCCAUGUGUAGCGGUGAAAUGCGCAGAGAUAUGGAGGAACACCAGUGGCGAAGGCGACUUUCUGGUCUGUAACUGACGCUGAUGUGCGAAAGCGUGGGGAUCAAACAGGAUUAGAUANCCUGGUAGUCCACGCCGUAAACGAUGAGUGCUAAGUGUUAGGGGGUUUCCGCCCCUUAGU